GGCUAGGCGCGGCUACCAUGCAGUCGAGCGGAACGAGUUAUCUGAACCUUCGGGGACGAUAACGGCGUCCAGCGGCGUAUGGGUGAGCGUGCCUACGAAUGUCCCCGAUGUGGGGGAUAACCAUUGGAAACGAUGGCUAAUACCGCAUAAUGCCUACGGGCCAAAGAGGGGGACCUUCGGGCCUCUCGCGUCAAGAUAUGCCUAGGUGGGAUUAGCUAGUUGGUGAGGUAAUGGCUCACCAAGGCGACGAUCCCUAGCUGGUCUGAGAGGAUGAUCAGCCACACUGGAACUGAGACACGGUCCACACUACUACGGGAGGCAGCAGUGGGGAAUAUUGCACAAUGGGCGCAAGCCUGAUGCAGCCAUGCCGCGUGUAUGAAGAAGGCCUUCGGGUUGUAAAGUACUUUCAGCAGUGAGGAAGGGGGUGUCGUUAAUAGCGGCAUCUCUUGACGUUAGCUGCAGAAGAAGCACCGGCUAACUCCGUGCCAGCAGCCGCGGUAAUACGGAGGGUGCGAGCGUUAAUCGGAAUUACUGGGCGUAAAGCGCAUGCAGGUGGUUUGUUAAGUCAGAUGUGAAAGCCCGGGGCUCAACCUCGGAACUGCAUUUGAAACUGGCAAACUAGAGUACUGUAGAGGGGGGUAGAAUUUCAGGUGUAGCGGUGAAAUGCGUAGAGAUCUGAAGGAAUACCAGUGGCGAAGGCGGCCCCCUGGACAGAUACUGACACUCAGAUGCGAAAGCGUGGGGAGCAAACAGGAUUAGAUACCCUGGUAGUCCACGCCGUAAACGAUGUCUACUUGGAGGUUGUGGCCUUGAGCCGUGGCUUUCGGAGCUAACGCGUUAAGUAGACCGCCUGGGGAGUACGGUCGCAAGAUUAAAACUCAAAUGAAUUGACGGGGGCCCGCACAAGCGGUGGAGCAUGUGGUUUUAAUUCGAUGCAACGCGAAGAACCCUUACCUACUUCUUUGACAUCCC
Molecule: ribosomal RNA, 972 nt
Filed under: Vibrio sp. j21425
Lineage: Bacteria; Pseudomonadati; Pseudomonadota; Gammaproteobacteria; Vibrionales; Vibrionaceae
Description: bacterial SSU rRNA
Rfam family: Bacterial small subunit ribosomal RNA
Source: RNAcentral